GAAAGGGUGAGUAACGCGUGAGCAACCUGCCCUCAAGAUUGGGACAACACCUGGAAACGGGUGCUAAUACCGGAUGUGCUUAUAAUGGUGAUGCUAUAAUAAGUAAAAAUUUAUUGCUUGAGGAUGGGCUCGCGUUCCAUUAGCUAGUUGGUAAGGUAACGGCUUACCAAGGCAACGAUGGAUAGCUGGUCUGAGAGGAUGACCAGCCACACUGGGACUGAGAUACUGCCCAGACUCC
Molecule: ribosomal RNA, 238 nt
Filed under: uncultured bacterium
Lineage: Bacteria
Description: partial 16S ribosomal RNA
Rfam family: Bacterial small subunit ribosomal RNA
Source: RNAcentral